This 1293-nucleotide ribosomal RNA is filed under the name uncultured bacterium. Its description in RNAcentral is "bacterial SSU rRNA". It matches the Rfam family "Bacterial small subunit ribosomal RNA", at positions 93 to 1399 of the family's 1533-position model. The record is from RNAcentral.
UAGUGGCGGACGGGUGAGUAACGCGUGAGCAAUCUACCUCCAGGUGAGGGAUAACAACCGGAAACAGUUGCUAAUACCUCAUGACAUAUAUUUUUCGCAUGGGAGAUAUAUCAAAGGCUUGCUGCCUGGAGAUGAGCUUGCGUCUGAUUAGGUAGUUGGUGAGGUAACGGCCCACCAAGCCGACGAUCAGUAGCCGGACUGAGAGGUUGAACGGCCACAUUGGAACUGAGAUACGGUCCAGACUCCUACGGGAGGCAGCAGUGGGGAAUAUUGGGCAAUGGGCGAAAGCCUGACCCAGCAACGCCGCGUGAGGGAAGAAGGUUUUCGGAUUGUAAACCUCUGUCCUUGGUGACGAAGGAAGUGACGGUAGCCAAGGAGGAAGCCCCGGCUAACUACGUGCCAGCAGCCGCGGUAAUACGUAGGGGGCAAGCGUUGUCCGGAAUGACUGGGCGUAAAGGGCGCGUAGGCGGCCAUUUAAGUUAGGAGUGAAAGUCCCGCUUUCAAGGUGGGAAUUGCUUUUAAUACUGAAUGGCUUGAGUGCGGAAGAGGUAAGUGGAAUUCCCAGUGUAGCGGUGAAAUGCGUAGAGAUUGGGAGGAACACCAGUGGCGAAGGCGACUUGCUGGGCCGUAACUGACGCUGAGGCGCGAAAGCGUGGGGAGCGAACAGGAUUAGAUACCCUGGUAGUCCACGCGGUAAACGAUGAAUGCUAGGUGUAAGGGGUAUCGACCCCUCCUGUGCCGGAGUAAACACAAUAAGCAUUCCGCCUGGGGAGUACGGGCGCAAGGGUGAAAAUUCAAAGGAAUGGACGGGGGCCCGCACAAGCAGCGGAGCAUGUGGUUUAAUUGGAGGCAACGCGAAGACCCUUACCAGUUCUUGACAUCGAUUUAUUCUUCUAGAACCAGGGGGUGGCUUCGGCCAGGAGAAGCCAGGUGGUGCAUGGUGGUGGUCAGCUCGUUUGGUGAGAUGUUGGGUUAAUUCCGGCAAGGAGCGCAACCCCUAUUAUCCAGUUAUUACCAGGUAAUGUUGAGGACUCUGAUGAGACCGCCGGGGACAACUCGGAGGAAGGUGGGGACGACGUCAAAUCAUCAUGCCCCUUAUGACCUGGGCUACACACGUGCUACAAUGGUGAUAACAAAGAGGAGCGAAGUCGCAAGGCGGAGCGGAUCUCAAAAAAAUCAUCUCAGUUCGGAUUGUGGGCUGCAACCCGCCCACAUGAAGUUGGAGUUGCUAGUAAUCGCGAAUCAGCAUGUCGCGGUGAAUACGUUCCCGGGCCUUGCACACACCGCCCGUCA